RNAcentral lists this ribosomal RNA (255 nucleotides) under Listeria monocytogenes. RNAcentral describes it as "partial 23S ribosomal RNA". It matches the Rfam family "Bacterial large subunit ribosomal RNA", at positions 1708 to 1961 of the family's 2925-position model. Lineage: Bacteria; Bacillati; Bacillota; Bacilli; Caryophanales; Listeriaceae. The record is from RNAcentral.
AGGAACUCGGCAAAAUGACCCCGUAACUUCGGGAGAAGGGUUGCUCUAUUAGGGUGCAAGCCCGAGAGCGCCGCAGUGUAUAGGCCCAGGCGACUGUUUAGCAAAAACACAGGUCCCAGCAAAACCGGAAGGUGACGUAAAGGCGCUGAUGCCUGCCCGGUGCUCGAAGGUUAAGGGGAGUGCUUAGCUUCGGCGAAGGUACGAAUUGAAGCCCCAGUAAACGGCGGCCGUAACUAUAACGGUCCUAAGGUAGCG